UGAGGAAUAUUGGUCAAUGGCCGUAAGGCUGAACCAGCCAAGUCGCGUGAGGGAAGAUGGCCCUACGGGUUGUAAACCUCUUUUGCCGGGGAGCAAAAGACGCCACGCGUGGCGUCCCGAGAGUACCCGGAGAAAAAGCCACGGCUAACUCCGUGCCAGCAGCCGCGGUAAUACGGAGGAUGCGAGCGUUAUCCGGAUUUAUUGGGUUUAAAGGGUGCGCAGGCGGACUUCCAAGUCAGCGGUAAAAUCGCGGGGCCCAACCCCGCCCAGCCGUUGAAACUGGGAGUCUCGAGUGGGCGAGAAGUAUGCGGAAUGCGUGGUGUAGCGGUGAAAUGCAUAGAUAUCACGCAGAACCCCGAUUGCGAAGGCAGCAUACCGGCGCCCGACUGACGCUCAUGCACGAAAGCGUGGGUAUCGAACAGGA
RNAcentral lists this ribosomal RNA (424 nucleotides) under uncultured bacterium. RNAcentral's name for it is "bacterial SSU rRNA". It matches the Rfam family "Bacterial small subunit ribosomal RNA", at positions 355 to 777 of the family's 1533-position model. The record is from RNAcentral.